GGGCCUAUAGCUCAGUUGGUAGAGCCCCCGGCUCAUAACCGGUAGGUCACAGGUUCGAAUCCUGUUGGGCCCACCA
Molecule: transfer RNA, 76 nt
Filed under: Nitrospina sp.
Lineage: Bacteria; Pseudomonadati; Nitrospinota; Nitrospinia; Nitrospinales; Nitrospinaceae
Also listed under: 3 other names
Description: tRNA-Ile
Rfam family: tRNA
About the family: Transfer RNA (tRNA) molecules are approximately 80 nucleotides in length. Their secondary structure includes four short double-helical elements and three loops (D, anti-codon, and T loops).
Source: RNAcentral